Molecule: long non-coding RNA, 1157 nt
Filed under: Monodelphis domestica (gray short-tailed opossum)
Lineage: Eukaryota; Metazoa; Chordata; Mammalia; Didelphimorphia; Didelphidae
Description: lncRNA (ENSMODG00000042331.1)
Source: RNAcentral
AUCUCCUUACUCCUAAGAGUUAUGUUUCUCUUAAGUUAGUCCAAGGUCAUUAAUUUUUGAGAUUUUUCAUAUCAUAUGGCUGAAGAACACUAAACUUUUAGUCUACUAACUUUGAUAACAAAGUGUCAAACCCUAGAACUGAAGUUGUAGUCUGGUGGGAAAUUAAUGGAGUCUUAGCCACAGUGGGGGAGCAACCCCAGGCAAUGUUCUGGAAUCUUGGGAGAGCAAGAGUUUCUGUCAGAGAGAGACAGUUAGCUCUCUCAAUUCUGAAACAGCCUAAGAAGAGGUCUGGUCAAGACUUGCUCCUGAGGAAAGACGUACAUCUUCUACUGGUGAGUGGACACCCUUUCUCCCACUGAUUCCCAACUAAAGUGGCCAGUUUGAGAAGACACCAAGCAGCUGACAAGAUCACCUCACAGCUCCUGGUGCCCUGGGUCUGUAUGGUGCCCAGGGGACCAAGACAAGGGCCAUUCAAGCCUGAAUCUCUCAGGGGCCCAAGGCUGCCAAGGACUUAGUUCCCUCACUUGAGGAAGAAGCAUUGUUAUCCAUUUUGGAAGCUAUAAUUAUGUUAGUGAUGGCUAGUGCUUCUCUUGGCUUUGGAACUAUGACCAGAAUCCCUGCUCCUUUGUGAUUGACUACCAGCUCUUCUCUCAAACCUGCAACUAUAGUCUUGAACCCCAUAUGUGGCCAUUAGUAAGCUUCUCUCUUAGGGGAAGGAUUACAGCUGGUCUUCCUGGUCAAUGGAGUAAAGUUUCCUAGAAUUCUCCCUCUCAGCCAUGAACAAUGAAGCUUUUUCUCUCAACUGGGACAUGCAAGAAGUUAAUGGAAGACAAGAAGUCAUGAAGAAAGGGAUUGAGGUACAAUUCACAAUCAGGUCAGUAUUACUUAAACUUGUCUUCUGCCAUCUUCUUUCCCUUUCCAGAGAUUUUCAAAAAACUAAUAGUUGAAUAACCAAAAAGGAACUUGACUUUGACAGAGAUUUUUUUUCCUUCCUUCAUACCAAUUUUAUUUAAUAUAUAUAAGAAUAGAACAAUCCCAUUUAAACUCACAAAUGAAAUCUCUCCAUUUUUUAUCACACAAAAGGUAAUCUUUCCUUUUAAGUGAAUAGUGCUAUAAAUUCAGAAUAAAUGUUUUAAUUCAUUUUUUUUUAUUUUUCA